Molecule: ribosomal RNA, 253 nt
Filed under: uncultured bacterium
Lineage: Bacteria
Description: partial 16S ribosomal RNA
Rfam family: Bacterial small subunit ribosomal RNA
Source: RNAcentral
UACGUAGGUGGCGAGCGUUGUCCGGAUUUACUGGGCGUAAAGGGAGCGUAGGCGGGCUUUUAAGUGAGAUGUGAAAUACUCGGGCUCAACUUGAGUGCUGCAUUUCAAACUGGAAGUCUAGAGUGCAGGAGAGGAGAAUGGAAUUCCUAGUGUAGCGGUGAAAUGCGUAGAGAUUAGGAAGAACACCAGUGGCGAAGGCGAUUCUCUGGACUGUAACUGACGCUGAGGUUCGAAAGCGUGGGUAGCAAACAGG